This 253-nucleotide ribosomal RNA is filed under the name uncultured bacterium. RNAcentral's name for it is "partial 16S ribosomal RNA". It matches the Rfam family "Bacterial small subunit ribosomal RNA", at positions 524 to 776 of the family's 1533-position model. The record is from RNAcentral.
UACGUAGGGUGCAGGCGUUAAUCGGAAUUACUGGGCGUAAAGCGUGCGCAGGCGGUUUCUUAAGUCAGAUGUGAAAGCCCCGGGCUUAACCUGGGAACUGCGUUUGAAACUGGGAGACUUGAGUGUGGCAGAGGGGGGUGGAAUUCCACGUGUAGCAGUGAAAUGCGUAGAGAUCGGGAGGAACAUCAGUUGCGAAGGCGGCUCUCUGGACCAGCACUGACACUGAGGCACGAAAGCGUGGGGAGCAAACAGG